ACGGGAGGCAGCAGCUAAGAAUAUUCCGCAAUGGACGAAAGUCUGACGGAGCGACGCCGCGUGGAUGAUGAAGGUCGAAAGAUUGUAAAAUCCUUUUGUCAGUGAGGAAUAAGUGUGGCUGGGAAUGGCCGCAUGGUGACUGUAGCUGAUGAAUAAGCAACGGCUAAUUACGUGCCAGCAGCCGCGGUAACACGUAAGUUGCGAGCGUUGUUCGGAAUUAUUGGGCGUAAAGGGCAUGUAGGCGGUUAUGAAAGUCUGUAGUGAAAUCCCUGGGCUUAACCCAGGAACUGCUAUGGAAACUGCAGGACUAGAAUUACUGAAGGGCAACUGGAAUUCCAAGUGUAGGGGUGAAAUCUGUAGAUAUUUGGAAGAACACCAAUGGCGAAGGCAAGUUGCUGGCAGAUAAUUGACGCUGAGGUGCGAAGGUGCGGGGAGCAAACAGGAUUAGAUACCCUGGUA
RNAcentral lists this ribosomal RNA (459 nucleotides) under uncultured Treponema sp. Its description in RNAcentral is "partial 16S ribosomal RNA". It matches the Rfam family "Bacterial small subunit ribosomal RNA", at positions 341 to 792 of the family's 1533-position model. The record is from RNAcentral. Lineage: Bacteria; Pseudomonadati; Spirochaetota; Spirochaetia; Treponematales; Treponemataceae.